This 450-nucleotide long non-coding RNA is filed under the name Sus scrofa (pig). Its description in RNAcentral is "lncRNA (ENSSSCG00070002458.1)". The record is from RNAcentral. Lineage: Eukaryota; Metazoa; Chordata; Mammalia; Artiodactyla; Suidae.
AUGGAGAUCAUUUUUUCCAGUGCUUGUUACCCCUGUGUAUCUGGUUUAGGAAAAUGUCUAGUCAGGUCUGUUGCCCUUUUCUCAAUCAAGUGCUUGGGUUUAUUUAUUGAUGCAUUGAUUUUUUUUUUUCGGUGUUCGUUUGUGUCUGUUGUUGAGCUGGUAAUUAUGAAACCCCAUCCUUACCUGGGCUUUGGGAACCGGAUAAAGUGCCUGCAUGUUGUCCCUGGAAGGUGGUACAGAGGUGACAUUUUGUUAUUGUCCUGCACCCAUGAGUCGCAUGCAGAUACACUCUGCCCUGGAAGUGAAUCCACUCCUAUGCUGGACAUCCCCAGGCUCAUUCUUCUAAUCAUCAGCCACGAGAGACACUGUGUCAAGAGAGACUUCAGGAUUUGCUUUAUCUAUCCAUUCCCUUAGCUCUUCUGUAGGAAUAUAUAUAUAAUAUAUAUAUAU